Non-coding RNA from Schistosoma curassoni, 48 nucleotides. Lineage: Eukaryota; Metazoa; Platyhelminthes; Trematoda; Strigeidida; Schistosomatidae. The record is from Rfam.
AUUCAGCUGACGAGUCCUAAAUAGAACGAAGUGUUACGCAUCCUAGAU